Cyprinodon variegatus (sheepshead minnow) is the source of this 454-nucleotide long non-coding RNA. RefSeq lists it as uncharacterized. Lineage: Eukaryota; Metazoa; Chordata; Actinopteri; Cyprinodontiformes; Cyprinodontidae. The transcript has 3 exons. The record is from RefSeq and is a predicted model, not a curated record.
AACGAACAAAAGAAGCUUAGAUCUACCCUAGGAAUGAAACAGGACCGACAGUUGGUAUGGUUUUUGAUGAAAAGCUCAACAACUUCACCUGGAGCAGUUAUGCCCACGUCAACCAGCAAUGCAGCUAAACCUGUUGGGCUGGAUGCAUCUUCCUCUGCCAUGACAAGGCUAAACAGGACUUUUUCAGUCAGUUAGGAAAACAAGUUCCUUGGAGGCUGCCAGUGGGCUUGGCUGGGCCAUUGAACCAAGAGUCCCAGCUGCAAAGAAUCUCAGCGGCAAUGAGACUUAAUUGGACUCUCACAUAUUUUAGAAGAGGUGAGCGAAGGUUAAGUUUGUUCCAUUUUGUUAGGUUUUUGUUGUAUGCUGGUGAAGAUUCUUAGUCAUCCAGGUCAUAGUCAUUCAACAUAUUCUCAUUAUUAGUUCGUAUGAAAUCGUAGGAAAAGUUAUGCACAGU